GAUGAACGCUGGCGGCGUGCCUAACACAUGCAAGUCGAACGGAAAGGCCCUGCUUUUGCGGGGUGCUCGAGAGGCGAACGGGUGAGUAACACGCGAGUAACAUGCCCUUGACUUUGGGAUAACUUCAGGAAACUGGGGCUAAUACCGGAUAGGAGCUCCUGCUGCAUGGUGUGGGUUGGAAAGUUUCGGCGGUUGGGGAUGGAAUCGCGGCUUAUCCGCUGGUUGGUGGGGUAGUGGCUUACCAAGGCUUUGACGGGUAGCCGGCCUGGGAGGGUGGCCAGGCACAUUGGGACUGAGAUACGGCCCAGACUCGUACGGGAGGCAGCAGUGGGGAGUAUUGCAGAGUAGGCGGAAGCCUGAUGCAGCAACGCCGGGUGCGGGAUGACGGCCUUCGGGUUGUAAACCGCUUUCGCCGGUGACGAAGCGUGCGUGACGGUAAUGGGUAAGAAAGCAACGGCUAACUACGUG
Molecule: ribosomal RNA, 468 nt
Filed under: uncultured bacterium
Lineage: Bacteria
Description: partial 16S ribosomal RNA
Rfam family: Bacterial small subunit ribosomal RNA
Source: RNAcentral